RNAcentral lists this small nuclear RNA (107 nucleotides) under Propithecus coquereli (Coquerel's sifaka). The record is from RNAcentral. Lineage: Eukaryota; Metazoa; Chordata; Mammalia; Primates; Indriidae.
GUGCUCACUUCGGCAGAACAUAUACUAAAGUUGGAACGAUACAAAGAAGAUUAGCAAGGCCCCUGAGCAAGGGUGACACACAAAUUUGUGAAGUGUUCCGUAUUUUU